CCUACGGGAGGCAGCAGUGGGGAAUUUUGGACAAUGGGCGCAAGCCUGAUCCAGCCAUGCCGCGUGAGUGAAGAAGGCCUUCGGGUUGUAAAGCUCUUUCGGCAGGAACGAAAUGGCUCGUGUUAAUACCACGAACUGAUGACGGUACCUGAAGAAGAAGCACCGGCUAACUACGUGCCAGCAGCCGCGGUAAUACGUAGGGUGCAGGCGUUAAUCGGAAUUACUGGGCGUAAAGCGUGCGCAGGCGGUUUCUUAAGUCAGAUGUGAAAGCCCCGGGCUUAACCUGGGAACUGCGUUUGAAACUGGGAGACUUGAGUGUGGCAGAGGGGGGUGGAAUUCCACGUGUAGCAGUGAAAUGCGUAGAUAUGCGGAGGAACACCGAUGGCGAAGGCAGCCCCCUGGGCUAACACUGACGCUCAUGCACGAAAGCGUGGGGAGCAAACAGGAUUAGAUACCCUGGUAGUCCACGCCCUAAACUAUGUCAACUGGUUGUCGGGGGAUUGAUUCCCUUGGUAACGAAGCUAACGCGUGAAGUUGACCGCCUGGGGAGUACGGCCGCAAGGUUAAAACUCAAAGGAAUUGACGG
RNAcentral lists this ribosomal RNA (586 nucleotides) under uncultured bacterium. Its description in RNAcentral is "bacterial SSU rRNA". It matches the Rfam family "Bacterial small subunit ribosomal RNA", at positions 338 to 916 of the family's 1533-position model. The record is from RNAcentral.